CACAGAAAGUGAAGACGGCACAGAAAACUACUUUUCGUUCAAAGCGAGGAGUGAAUCUUCGAACGGCAUCAUGAAAGCAUCUAGGCGAGGCCUUGGUCCCCUGGUGGUGUUUGCGGUACUCGGACAACUGUUGGCGUUGAUACCCUGCGUCAACACUUCCGGAGUUGGUUAAGGAGAACGCAAUAUCGCGGAUGAAAAUGCGGCAGGAUAUGGAGGACUCCAUGCAGAGAAUCCGUGACGUGGGCCUAAGGGUGAAAAGUGGCAUCCCACAUGAUGUCCCAUGUUUCUUCGACCACGUCAAAAUCCAG
Molecule: unclassified non-coding RNA, 308 nt
Filed under: Dermacentor andersoni
Lineage: Eukaryota; Metazoa; Arthropoda; Arachnida; Ixodida; Ixodidae
Description: uncharacterized LOC126529170
Source: RNAcentral